UGAGGAAUAUUGGGCAAUGCCCGAAAGGGUGACCCAGCAACGCCGCGUGGAGGAUGAAGGUCGUAAGAUUGUAAACUCCUGUUAGAGGGGAAGAAUAACUAAGUUUGGAGCUUAGUAUGACUGUACCCUCAGAGAAAGCCCCGGCUAACUACGUGCCAGCAGCCGCGGUAAUACGUAGGGGGCAAGCGUUGUCCGGAUUUACUGGGUGUAAAGGGCGCGCAGGCGGAAUGGAAAGUCAGUGGUGAAAUCCUACAGCUUAACUGUAGAACUGCCUUUGAUACUUUCAUUCUUGAGUUCGGGAGAGAGAGACGGAAUUCCAGGUGUAGUGGUGAAAUACGUAGAUAUCUGGAAGAACACCAGUUGCGAAGGCGGUCUCUUGGUCCGAUACUGACGCUGAGGCGCGAAAGCGUG
Molecule: ribosomal RNA, 411 nt
Filed under: uncultured bacterium
Lineage: Bacteria
Description: bacterial SSU rRNA
Rfam family: Bacterial small subunit ribosomal RNA
Source: RNAcentral